Molecule: unclassified non-coding RNA, 712 nt
Filed under: Hevea brasiliensis (rubber tree)
Lineage: Eukaryota; Viridiplantae; Streptophyta; Magnoliopsida; Malpighiales; Euphorbiaceae
Source: RNAcentral
GGUCAUUUUACGAAAUCCAAUGUGGGAAGUGGGAACGCUUACGUAGCUACAUGCUCUCUGAAACACAAUCUCACUUGACAAACCAUAUACACAAGGCAAAAAAAAAAAAACCCCCCAAAAUUGAAACAAACUACAAGCUGCCUGCGUUGAGUAUAAAAUUGGCGUCACAACCUCACUCUGAAAUCUCUUUUGCUAUUGACAAAUUUCACACCGAAAGCCGAUUUCAUGACCUAUCUACAUAAAUUAGUAGUCACAUAUUUGUUGAAAGUUUCUCUCUCCUCAGUGCUGCCACUGGAGAAGACUUUCGUCAGUUGGGGAGCCAGGUAUAAAAGGUACAAAACCCCGGCCACCAAAAACAGGCCGCAUGAAGGCGUCAUCAAAUUUUCGCCAAUAAUGGUGGACAGAGUGAGAAGAGGUGCUCAAGAGCAUUCUUAAACUGGUUGGGCGGGAAACAUUGCAGCUGCCUUUGUUGUCCUCUAAAUCUUGCCCAUUGAGAAGUGGCGCAGUGAAGGAUUUAGGACUAGACGGCUCAGAAGACAACAUGCUGGAAGUGUGUUUUGGAGAUGGAAGCAAGAUCCUCACUAGUGGUUUUGUCAUCAACCCGAACACCACUGUGCUGAAAAGGACAACUGUAAUGGUACUGGUGAUCAUGAUUGCACUCCCACGCAACUGCGUAUAGCCUGAAUUGGUAAACUGAUUAUAAGCAAGAGCC